RNAcentral lists this signal recognition particle RNA (301 nucleotides) under Saimiri boliviensis boliviensis (Bolivian squirrel monkey). RNAcentral describes it as "Metazoan signal recognition particle RNA (ENSSBOG00000001702.1)". It matches the Rfam family "Metazoan signal recognition particle RNA". From Rfam's summary of the family: The signal recognition particle (SRP) is a universally conserved ribonucleoprotein. The record is from RNAcentral. Lineage: Eukaryota; Metazoa; Chordata; Mammalia; Primates; Cebidae.
GCCGGGCGUGGUGGCGUGUGCCUGUAGUCCCAGCUACUCGGGAGGCUGAGGUGGGAGGAUCGCUUGAGCCCAGGAGUUCUGGGCUGUAGUGUGCUAUGCUGAUCAGGUGUCCGCACUAAGUUCAGCAUCAAUAUAGUGACCUCCCGGGAGCCAGGGGACCACCAGGUUGCCUAAGGAGGGGUGAACCAGCCCAGGUCGGAAACGGAGCAGGUCAAAACUCCAGUGCUGAUCAGUAGUGGGAUCGUGCCUGUGAAUAGCCACUGCACUCCAGCCUGGGCAACAUAGCAAGACCCCCGUCUCU